CCUACGGGAGGCAGCAGUGGGGGAUAUUGCACAAUGGGGGGAACCCUGAUGCAGCGACGCAGCGUGGGUGAAGGAGCGUUUCGGCGCGUACAGCCCUAUCGGCAGGGAAGAAGAAGGACGGAACCUGACUAAGAAGCCCCGGCUAACUACGUGCCAGCAGCCGCGGUAAUACGUAGGGGGCAAGCGUUAUCCGGAGUUACUGGGGGUAAAGGGGGGGCAGACGGCAGCGCAAGCCAGUAGUGAAAGCGAGGGGCCCAACCCCGGGACUGCUCUUGAAACUGCGCGGCUGGAGUGCAGGAGGGGCAGGCGGAAUUCCUGGUGUAGCGGUGAAAUGCGUAGAUAUCAGGAGGAACACCGGUGGCGAAGGCUGCCUGCUGGACUGCGACUGACGUUGAGGCCCGAAAGCGUGGGGAGCAAACAGGAUUAGAUACCCCAGUAGUC
This 441-nucleotide ribosomal RNA is filed under the name uncultured bacterium. RNAcentral describes it as "partial 16S ribosomal RNA". It matches the Rfam family "Bacterial small subunit ribosomal RNA", at positions 338 to 795 of the family's 1533-position model. The record is from RNAcentral.